AGCGAACGCUGGCGGCAGGCCUAACACAUGCAAGUCGAACGAGCCUUUCGGGGUUAGUGGCGGACGGGUGAGUAAACCGUUAAAAAGUGCCUCUUGGGUCGGGAACAACCGCGGAAACUUGUUGCUAAUCCCCCUGUGGCCUACGGGGGAAAGAUGUAAUGCCUUUGAAGCGGCCCGCGCCUGAUUAGAUAGUUGUGUGGGGUAAUGGGUCAACAAGGCGACGAUCCGUAGCUUGUCAGAGAGGGUGAUCAGCCACAGGGGGACUGAGACAAGGCACAAACUCCUGCGGGAGGCAGCAGUGGGGAAUCUUGCGCAAUGGGCGAAAGCCUGACGCAGCCAUGCCGCGUGAAUGAUGAAGGUCUGAGGAUUGUAAAACUCUUUCACCGGGGACGAUAAUGACGGUACCCGGAGAAGAAGCCCCGGCUAACUUCGUG
Molecule: ribosomal RNA, 434 nt
Filed under: uncultured bacterium
Lineage: Bacteria
Description: partial 16S ribosomal RNA
Rfam family: Bacterial small subunit ribosomal RNA
Source: RNAcentral